UAUGGAGGCCAGUCAGGUGGAGGUAACAUGAACUCCCCUAGAAUCGAAAGAUAGCAAGGGUAAUGAUUAUUUUUCAGGUUGGUUGGUCUCCUUAAUU
This 97-nucleotide signal recognition particle RNA is filed under the name Candidatus Pelagibacter sp. TMED275. Its description in RNAcentral is "signal recognition particle sRNA small type". It matches the Rfam family "Bacterial small signal recognition particle RNA". From Rfam's summary of the family: The signal recognition particle (SRP) is a universally conserved ribonucleoprotein involved in the co-translational targeting of proteins to membranes. Lineage: Bacteria; Pseudomonadati; Pseudomonadota; Alphaproteobacteria; Candidatus Pelagibacterales; Candidatus Pelagibacteraceae. The record is from RNAcentral.